RNAcentral lists this ribosomal RNA (253 nucleotides) under uncultured bacterium. RNAcentral describes it as "partial 16S ribosomal RNA". It matches the Rfam family "Bacterial small subunit ribosomal RNA", at positions 524 to 776 of the family's 1533-position model. The record is from RNAcentral.
UACGAAGGGGGCGAGCGUUGUUCGGAAUUACUGGGCGUAAAGGGCGCGUAGGCGGCCGAUCAAGUUAGAUGUGAAAGUCCUGGGCUUAACCUGGGGACUGCAUUUGAUACUGAUUGGCUUGAAUUCGGGAGAGGAUAGCGGAAUUCCCAGUGUAGAGGUGAAAUUCGUAGAUAUUGGGAAGAACACCGGUGGCGAAGGCGCUCUGCUAGGCCGCAACUGACACUCAUGGACGAAAGCUAGGGGAGCGAAUGGG